CUGUAGGCCACGAAUUAAGAAGUGUCUCUUUCCUCGCCUUGAGUCUCGAGUGACGAGCGAUCCUGAGCGAGCAAGAAAAUAGAAAGGCAAAGGUUAUGUAAAGAGGAGCAUAAUCUCCGGCUUGCCCACGUCACCGUCCGGCGGAACCAACGGUAAGGCCACGACGGUGAUGAUGCAGAGGCUGAACUUCUACCUCUCAGAGCACCCCGCCAUCGUGGGCUUCCGAUGGAGCCACGCCCUCUGCUGGGGCUCCACGUGGUCCUUCCUGGUGUCCUCCAUCGCCGUCUACGUCGUCGUUUCGAUCUUCCUCCACCUGGUGCUGGCCCUCCUCCUCCGCCGCGGGAAGCCCGUCCCUCUGGGACCCUUACCCGCAAUCCACAGCCUCUCCAUGUCGCUCAUCUCCGCCACCAUCUUCGCGGGCCUUCUGGUCUCCGCCGCCGCCGAGAUCAAGGAGACGCGGUGGUUCUGGCGGCGCUCCAAGACCCCGCUCCAGUGGCUCCUCUGUUUCCCCCUCGGGACGCGUCCCUCCGGCCGCGUCUUCUUCUGGUCCUACGUGUUCUACCUCUCGCGUUUCCUCCACAUGCUCAGAACCGUUCUCGUCAUAUUACGACGUCGUAAGCUCGUUUUCUUCCACCUCUUCUACCACUCCAUCUCCACCUUCAUGUCCUUCCUCUGGCUCGAGUUCUCCCAGUCCUUCCAAGUUCUCGCCAUUCUCUUCACCCCCCUCGCCUACUGCGUCACCUACGGCCACCGCUUCUGGGCCGCGAUCGCCGCGCGUCGCCCCUGCUUCCCCCUCGUCCUCAACUUUCAGAUCGCUCUCUUUGGAUGCAACGUCGUUUGCCACGUUGCCGUCCUUUUGUUGCAUUUUUUUAAAGGUGGCUGUAACGGCAUCGGCGCCUGCCUCUUCAAUGCCCUGCUUAACGCUGCUAUUUUGUUGCCGUUUCUCAACUUCUACGUCCGAGUCUACUUUCGAAGGUCCACAAAACAUAGUAACAAAUUCUUCAACUUCAGUUAAACCUUAGCUUGGUCGGUCAAUGCUGCCAACGCCAAGGUUUCCCAGCUUUGUGUUGUGGGUGCGGUUAUUGUCACUUUUAUGUGAGACAUGGUGUUACUCUAUUCAGGCAACUCAAAGAGUUUCUCUGCUAUGGUUUAAAGUUUAAACUUUGAUGUACAUUAUCCCCCCACCAACACUUGGAUGCUUGAGUAACCAUAGGAAUGAAGGUGUUAAGUGUUUCAGGGUCAAUCUCUUUUAUCUCAACAUCGGUGGCAAAUGGUCAUGGCAUCAUCCAUACACAAGAAACUUGUGGGUCUUGAUAUAUACAUUGUGGAAAUUAAUAACAAGGUGGAGGCUUCGGUAGAAUGUUAGACCAUCCAAAGUAUGGAGACAAGCAGUCAAAUUUUGAUGUUAAUUUAUUUUAAGGGUUUGUGUACAAAGUUUGGAUAAUUUUAACUGUUAGUACCCGAAGCACAAUUUGGGUUGCUUUCCUCUUUUCUCUAAGGUGGCGGCAAGGCAUUAUUUCAGGAAUAUGGCUAGGUGUGUUAGCUGGUUGAUCGGCCUUGCAUGUUUUCAGAUGAAUUAAUUCAUUUUGUGAAAUUUGGGUAAAUUGCUGGCAAAGGUGGUUAAAUGUUAGAUUGCUUAGUUGGGAUUUUUCUGGGUUUCUUUCUUAAGCAGUGGGACGUAGUCACUUAAUU
Molecule: RNA transcript, 1692 nt
Organism: Cajanus cajan (pigeon pea)
Lineage: Eukaryota; Viridiplantae; Streptophyta; Magnoliopsida; Fabales; Fabaceae
Gene name: fatty acid elongase 3-like
Source: RefSeq, a predicted model, not a curated record